Molecule: ribosomal RNA, 573 nt
Filed under: uncultured bacterium
Lineage: Bacteria
Description: bacterial SSU rRNA
Rfam family: Bacterial small subunit ribosomal RNA
Source: RNAcentral
UCGAACGAGGUAGCAAUACCUAGUGGCGAACGGCGGAGUAAUACAUAAGCAACGUGCCUCAAAGAUCGGGAUAGCCCGGGGAAACCCGGAGUAAUACCGGAUGUGGCCGUCGAGGGGCAUCCCUUGACGAUUAAAUGGUUUUUCGCUUUGAGAGCGGCUUAUGGCCUAUCAGGUAGUUGGUGGGGUAAUGGCCUACCAAGCCGACGACGGGUAGCGGGUCUGAGAGGAUGACCCGCUCGAGUGGGACUGAGACACGGCCCACACACCUACGGGUGGCAGCAGUUGGGAAUCCUGCACAAUGGGGGAAACCCUGAUGCAGCGACGCCGCGUGGAGGAUGAAGGAUCUAGGUCUGUAAACUCCUUUUAUCAGGAAAGACUUAGGACGGUACCUGAUGAAUAAGCCCCGGCUAACUACGUGCCAGCAGCCGCGGUAAGACGUAGGGGGCGAGCGUUGUCCGGAUUUACUGGGCGUAAAGGGCGCGUAGGCGGCUCGUUAAGUGUGAAGUGAAAUCUCCAGGGCUCAACCCGGAAACUGCUUCGCAUACUGGCGAGCUUGAGGAAUGCAGAGGUAAG